CGAGACGUUUGGAGCGGUUUUUUUCUCUCCUCCAUGUCUCCUCCGGGGCUCCAAAGAUGCGCUCACAGAGAAGAAGAAGACAACAAAGCAGUCGCCGUCUUCACAACUCAGAGACAAACUGUAGCAGGCGCUACGAACCGGAGCAAGGACUAACCUCGCCUCAUAACGAGGCCGUGACCUAUAUUUGCUCGGAGCUGUCUGCAAGUCCAGAUUUACAUGACGCUGAUAAUGACGCCACUGUGUCUGCCUGUAAGACAUAUUACCAGACAGCACACAGGAGCUUCAGCUAGAAACAACCAGAUGUGGCAUCGCGGGCUGAAGCUGUGAAGAGUUCAGCUCGGAGUCGAUCGAUCGAGAAGAAAAGAGGCUGCUGGAAGCGAGACAGAGUGAGCUGGCUGCACCUGAGGUGACAUUUGGAAGUGCGCCACAUAAACCUACAGGACAACACACCACAGAC
Long non-coding RNA from Perca flavescens (yellow perch), 457 nucleotides. RefSeq lists it as uncharacterized. NCBI's taxonomy places the organism in Eukaryota, Metazoa, Chordata, Actinopteri, Perciformes, Percidae. The record is from RefSeq and is a predicted model, not a curated record. The transcript is spliced from 5 exons.